UUUUUUCUCAGUGGUACAUAAAAUAAUGGUGUGUCCAACAAUCGAUGAUGUCUUAGAUUCAAAUAUAUGCAUUAAAAUCAAGUGCCAACAUUUAGGAACAAAUUUUAAUACAAAUGUUUUAGUAAUUUUACCUUUACUGAUACAAAAAAAAAAAAAAAAAAAAAAAAAAGUCCACAAAUCUAGGAUACAAAAUUCUAGGAACAUUGUAAUAAAUGACAAUAAAAUGCCUUCUAAACUAGUUCCAAAACAGAAGAACGCUAUGAAAUAACAAAAAUGCCUACUGUCUGCAAGUAUCAUACAAUGCAACCCUAAAACUGAACAAACAAUGAAUGUGUUAACCUAAGUCAUUCAACAGCCCAAAUUCCUACUAGAAUGUGCUGAUCAAGUAUUUUUCUUCAUAACAGUAAUGCCAGGAAUCAAUUUCUAUUUUCAGUGAAAAGAACCAGAAAAGAACAAGACAUAGAUGUAUAAUACGGAAGGAAACACAUGAGAAAAACACAAGGAAGGAAGAAUGUAGAAGGAAAUUCAAGUUCACCAAAAUUCAACAGAAAACAGGAUCACAAAUAAGACAAGACUCAAGUUCAAAAAUCAUCCCAAGAAACUCUAUGGAUCAAUAACAGAAAUGCAAAUUUCAUCUUCACAGAGACUAAGAUAUCUGUAACAUCUAAACACAUUAAAAGGUUGCCAAUAAACAGUUAAGAUUAAACAGGAGAAUGCCAAAUGCUGAAAAAGAAUGGGCAUGGUUAAAGAUCUCAAUGCAAGCUGGUGAAGUUCUCCGAAGUGGCUACCUCACCCUAAAGGCAAGAACAGCAAAUAUCCUAUUGGAGACAACACAACAGAAUCCAUAGGAUGACAGAAUUAGGUGGGGGCUUGACUGUGAUCUUUACCAGGGAAUGCCAGGUUAAGUACACAGAGUGAGAUAAUAUCUUCAUGAGACAAUACCUUAAUACCUUUAACAGUGAGACAGGACAGAAGGUAGAAAUUCUGAGUGGUAAGCAGCCCCAAAGCUGCCCAUCUCCACGUAGUGGAAGGAAGGAAGGAAGGAAGGAAGGAAGGAAGGAAGGAAGGAAGGAAGGAAGGAAGGGAGGGAGGGAGGGAGGGAACAAUUCACAUUCAAGCUCAAUUCCUGCUAGCCUGAAAUAAUGCCCUGUAUCCUCUCCCACAUGAACCUCCUGCAAAUAGUUGGUACAGGAAAACUAACAAAGAACACAAGUAAGAAAAAUGUUGCCACCAAUCAAAUAAAAAUCAAUGACCUAGCCAUGAUUUCAAAUGAAUAAAGUAAACAGCUUAAUGGAGUGAUAUAAAGAGCUUAGAGAAAAUAUGGUAAGAGAAGUUGAUAAAAAAAAAAAACAAAACAAAAAACUAGUCGAGUUCAGAAAAGAAAUGAAAGAAAUAUAAAAACCAACACAGAAAUGAAGGCCAUAUUGGAACGUACUAAAGAAAAAAAAAAAAGACCCUGCACAAGUUGUGUUAAGGAUCAACAAAAGCAAUCAGUGGAAGCAAUCAGCAAUCAAUGGAAAUUCUAUUUCUCUAGAGAGAAAAUAAUGGAUAUGUAAGAGAAUGGAGAUCUAAAAUGUGUAAUAACUGCUAUCUUUGGAAGAAGGAAACAAAAAUAAUGGAACUGAAAAAAUAUUCAAAGGUAUAACCUGAGAAAACUACAGAAACAAAUCCGGCACUAUAGACUGAACAGGCACCACAGUCCCAGAGAACCAGAUACAGAACUAAAAGAGAGGUAGAAACACAGAUGUAAAAGUAAAGGACAUCAGAGACAAGGACAGAACAUGGGGAGAAAUCUCAGAGAUUUGAACAGCUACAUAAAAUGCUAGUUAUGAAGCUACUGUCUAUGACAUUACCAGGAAAUAACACGUGAGACAAGAAUUUUAAAGCCACAAUGUGAUGGACGUUCAAAGACAACAGGAAGACACUUCGAAUAUAUUCAGCAAAUAGAAUUUCUACAAGACCUUUAUAAAAUGACUAGAAAGCAAACUUCAACCAAGAUUUGAUUACAGAGAGUGAUGUCUGCAUCAUGACAGCAUAAGCUAUCCCUUGUUUUAUCCCUCCAACCAAACAACAAAAGUCUAGCAUCUACUCAUGAAUAACACUGCGUGUGUGGAACCCAGCAUCAUUCGCCAAGGGGGCUCGGGAAAGCCUUGUUUACAAGUGUAUUGGUAAGAGACCGUCUUUAGUACUGUUUGUAGAACCUAUAGGAGGUUACGAAGUGGUUUGUGCCCCCCUUGCCUGUAGUCUGGGAGUGCCUGCAGAACAAGAACUCAGUCACCUAAAGAAGAGAGAGAGACUUUGUGGAAGUCCAGGUUUCCAGAAGAGAAGUUCCAGUACUCAGCUGGAGUAAAACAAAAUAAAAAAAAAAAAAAAAGGUUUGGAUGCAUUCAAGUAGGUAAAGAGAAGAGCUUGAUUUUGCUGGCAUCAUCUCUUCUCCAAAGCAGCACACUUGAAAGGUAACUAGAUAGCUGGUGAUUUUUCCCAGAGGAGAGAGGGAGAGCUGGUGAGUACAUGCCUGGUUUCCCUAAUUGUGUAGGAUGCUGUCAAAGACACUCAUUUUAUUCUUGGAAGAUCCAGACCCAGAACAUCCAUUAAAGUGGGAGCUCCAUGACUAGGGGGAGGGAGCAGAUCUGGAGAGCAGCAUUUAAGAUUCCUGGAUAAUUUGUAAAUGAACACAGGAUCUAAGAAGGCAAACUGUUGACAUUAAAAACAUAAAAGGUGGGGAGUAAAAGGGUUUUGCAUAUGAUUGAAGUUAGUAUCAGCAUGAAA
Molecule: long non-coding RNA, 2769 nt
Organism: Lynx canadensis (Canada lynx)
Lineage: Eukaryota; Metazoa; Chordata; Mammalia; Carnivora; Felidae
Exons: 2
Source: RefSeq, a predicted model, not a curated record